This 1295-nucleotide long non-coding RNA is filed under the name Oncorhynchus mykiss (rainbow trout). RNAcentral describes it as "lncRNA (ENSOMYG00000070957.1)". Lineage: Eukaryota; Metazoa; Chordata; Actinopteri; Salmoniformes; Salmonidae. The record is from RNAcentral.
AUCAUCACAGUCGACAUGAAACCAACGGAACUGAUAGUCAAUGUCCCAGAUGAAAUGGCAACUGACAUUCCCAGCAAUCUACUGAAUUUCCCAACAACUGGAAAUCAAACUCACUGCUCUGAACAUCAACAAGAAAAAAUGGAAACCUCAGCAGGUAUUGGGGGGAUUGUAGUAUUCAAAAGCUCUGUAGACCUUCAAAAUGUACACGAUUAUACAGUGGUGAACAUGUGUAUUAUACAUCUAUAAAUGUGUCUGCACCUCUGUUUCUCUGUUUCAUUUAUAGGCUGUGCUGUUCUUUGAUACAGUAGCAAAUGGAUUGGAUGAGCCUGAUGAGUAAGUGUAACAGUGUUUAGAGAAUGUUGGUCCUGACCAAUUGCUGAGCAGAAACCAUACAUGUAUCAUUUUCACAUGGGGAUACAUUUUUAUUAUGUACUUGAACACAAAUUGGUUAUGAUGACAUUUAUAGUUCCUGUAUUAACUCUAAUGAAUGCACUGCAUUGAUUUAUUUGUAGCCUUUCUGAGUACGUUCUUCAAGGAUUCAUUUGCUCUCGUGUCCAGACUUUCACCAAAACAAGAAUUAAACCUCUCAUCAGAGCUUGCAGACUUGGGCUGGUCGAAGAAAGGUGGUUCUCAAGGAGACACCGGUGAAAGUCCUCAAGAUUUUGACAACUAUCCAUCAGAUACGUUGCUGUAUUACAGGUAAGUUGGUCAUGUCACUGACAUUGUAAAAUGCAUUGUAAAUGAAGGUAACUAAUGUUAGAUGAACUAUUUACUGUUAUUUUUUUACGCUGACAUAACCAAAUGAAAAUGCCUUAGAAAUGAACCAUAAAGACAAUGUAAACUGUUUGUAUCUUUCUCCAGCUACACCAACAUGCAACAGACCGACUGCAGAUCCUACUUCAUUGAAACAGGACGAGCAGACUUCUCCGCCCUGUCCAGCACUUGGAUGGAAGGUUGAUCUACUGAACAAUGCCAAAAAAGUGCCUGGUGAGUUAUGUAUUCAAGAUGAAAGACACAAGUUUCUGGCUGAAUGUUUAAAAGCAGUGAUAAUGACGACAUUUGAUUUAUUCCAGAACAUCAAAGGGACACAGCUCAGUCGAGAUAAUCUCGAGGUCCUGGGAAACAUGGCAUGUGCUCUGGAUGAGGACUACAUUCAGAGCGCUGACUCUUACAUCCUGGAGAAACUAAAGAACUGCAAUGACUUCUCUGAUCAGCAGAUUACAGCUAUGGAGACGGUUAUCUGCAGUGGCAACACCACCUAUGGAAACCCAGGCACAUGGACUGAAAAAAACUAG